This 1205-nucleotide long non-coding RNA is filed under the name Sorghum bicolor (sorghum). RNAcentral's name for it is "long non-coding RNA (SBIC_LNC013666)". Lineage: Eukaryota; Viridiplantae; Streptophyta; Magnoliopsida; Poales; Poaceae. The record is from RNAcentral.
AGACAUAACUGUUAUAAUUUAAAGCUUGCUCUAAACCUGAACUUGUGGGAAGAGAACUUGAUCUGAAGUCUAAGUUGUUAACGAAUAUGAUAUGGGAGGGUUGAGCUGCUAUUUAUCUAUUCCUAGAGAUGCUAGAAAUCUGGAGAAUUUUAUCUUUGAAAAUCUUUAAAAUAUCACAUGAUGAGUUCCUGUAUGAUGAGAGUUUAAAUUCCUACCACAGCCAUAUAUACAUGCUUAUUAGACUAUGAACCAUACCUGUACCUUUUACUGCUUAUGAGCAUUGAGUGUGGUCAAGCUGUGUAGACCCUUAGGAGCUUGUCAUGCGGUUAAAAUCAAGAUUCACUUGCACGUUCACUCACACAUGUUGCUUCUACUCCAGAAGUACGCAUCCACAUAUAUCCACUCAUUUCCAUCUCUAGAACCACCUAAAAGUAUUCUACUCCUAAUCCGGGAGAGAAUAGCCAAAAACAUUCUCCUAUUUCUGUUUUUCCCUCUGAAAUAAAUGCUCAAGUUAUCUUGGUUACUACCACUUGCUAUAUUAUUUCAGAAGAUGAGUGCUCUAAAAAAAGAGAGAAAGGAUACGAGGAAAUAAAAAGGGGCAAGUGCCCAGAACCUCGAAAGAAAAGAAAAAGUGAGACGAGAGGUAAAAAUGGACAAGUGUCCGACAGUAGAAUUAGGGUUACAAGAUACCCACCUGAGAGGAAAGAAAAAGAAAAUAUAGAGCAGCUCAUUCUCCUCAAAAGUUUCAAAGAGCAAGAAAGGUAUGUAUCCCCUCAAAAGAGCAAAAAGUAGAAUUAGACUUUCACCAUUGUUAUCACUAUCAUCACCAUACACCAUUCAUUCGCCACACAUGCACAUCUUGAUUUGACUUAUUGACUUGUUUCUCUGGAUCCAUGGUUUGACUAUGCAAUAAAUGUCUUGUAAGUAUGUAUAUUUUAUCUCCAACCUAUGAGCUCCAGAUAUCAAAACCUUAUUAAAGUAGGGUGAGAGAGAAGGCAAGGUCACUAUGCUUCAUACCACAAAUACUACAUACUUUGAGAGAAGGCAUCUACCAUCAUUGCCUUGGUAAUGAUCCAGAAAUACCACAAAAGAGAGAUUUGAGAGAGUCAUACAAGGAAUCUCUAAGUUUUAUUUGAAAAUCUGUAAAAACUCCAGAGCUAUAGCUGAUCAAGAAUAAGAGACACGGCACUUGACUAGACCGUUCU